GGACUAUAGCUCAGUGGGUAGAGUAUUUGCCUUGCAUGCACAAGGCCCUGGGUUCCAUCCCCAGCACCA
This 69-nucleotide transfer RNA is filed under the name Marmota monax (woodchuck). Its description in RNAcentral is "tRNA.Ala". The stretch from base 7 to 64 matches the Rfam family "tRNA", at positions 8 to 63 of the family's 71-position model. Rfam says of the family: Transfer RNA (tRNA) molecules are approximately 80 nucleotides in length. Their secondary structure includes four short double-helical elements and three loops (D, anti-codon, and T loops). Lineage: Eukaryota; Metazoa; Chordata; Mammalia; Rodentia; Sciuridae. The record is from RNAcentral.